UUAAGCAUAUCAAUAAGCGGAGGAAAAGAAACCAACAGGGAUUACCUCAGUAACGGCGAGUGAAGCGGUAACAGCUCAAAUUUGAAAUCUGGGUCUUUCAGGCUCCGAGUUGUAAUUUGUAGAAGAUGCUUCGGGUGCGGCUCCGGUCUAAGUUCCUUGGAACAGGACGUCAUAGAGGGUGAGAAUCCCGUAUGUGAUCGGUUGCUUGCGCCCAUGUGAAGCUCUUUCGACGAGUCGAGUUGUUUGGGAAUGCAGCUCAAAAUGGGUGGUAAAUUUCAUCUAAAGCUAAAUAUUGGCCAGAGACCGAUAGCGCACAAGUAGAGUGAUCGAAAGAUGAAAAGCACUUUGGAAAGAGAGUUAAACAGUACGUGAAAUUGUUGAAAGGGAAGCGCUUGCAACCAGACUUGCGCGUUGCCGAUCAUCUGGGGUUCUCCCCAGUGCACUCGGCCUCGCUCAGGCCAGCAUCGGUUUCGGUGGUGGGAUAAAGGCCUUGGGAAUGUAGCUUCUUUCGGGGAGUGUUAUAGCCCUCGGUGCAAUGCCGCCUACCGGGACCGAGGACCGCGCUUCGGCUAGGAUGCUGGCGUAAUGGUUGUAAGCGACCCGUCUUGAAACACGGACCAAGGAGUCUAACAUCUAUGCGAGUGUUUGGGUGUCAAACCCAUACGCGUAAUGAAAGUGAACGGAGGUGAGAACCCUUAAGGGUGCAUCAUCGACCGAUCCUGAUGUCUUCGGAUGGAUUUGAGUAAGAGCAUAGCUGUUGGGACCCGAAAGAUGGUGAACUAUGCCUGAAUAGGGUGAAGCCAGAGGAAACUCUGGUGGAGGCUCGCAGCGGUUCUGACGUGCAAAUCGAUCGUCAAAUUUGGGUAUAGGGGCGAAAGACUAAUCGAACCAUCUAGUAGCUGGUUCCUGCC
RNAcentral lists this ribosomal RNA (911 nucleotides) under Coleophoma cylindrospora. RNAcentral's name for it is "eukaryotic LSU rRNA". It matches the Rfam family "Eukaryotic large subunit ribosomal RNA", at positions 34 to 962 of the family's 3401-position model. Lineage: Eukaryota; Fungi; Ascomycota; Leotiomycetes; Helotiales; Dermateaceae. The record is from RNAcentral.